This is a long non-coding RNA of Coregonus clupeaformis (lake whitefish), 2352 nucleotides long. RefSeq lists it as uncharacterized. Lineage: Eukaryota; Metazoa; Chordata; Actinopteri; Salmoniformes; Salmonidae. The record is from RefSeq and is a predicted model, not a curated record. The transcript has 6 exons.
AAUCAGCUAAUUGUCUGUGGUAUGUAGUUUUCGCGCGGAGAGUGAAUCGAAGAGAGUGAGGUUAGGUGCAGACAACGAAGAUGGCAAUAACAAGUAGUAAUUCAAACAUGAACUGUAUAGCACCAGGCUGUAGGAAUUGGCUCCAAAAUAAAUCCCUCGGUAAGCUACCAUAGGCUGCCCAAGGACCCACAACUUUUCAAGAAGUUGCUCCAUGUCCUGAAGAGGAAGGACGUGUCAGCUCGAGCUAGCAGGAUCUGCAGCCAGCACAUCGCGGAGGAAGACUUUGCGAUGAAGGGCACUUUCGAUGCGGCAACCGGGAGUUUCGAAUGGAAAGGAGUCAUAGGCCUACGUUGAAGCCCUCUGCUUGCCGCUCCAUUUUCAAUUUCGAGGGUUAUGUUGUAUGGGUUACAGACCGACCAUCAUCAACAUCGCUGACUUCGGAGUCAAGCAAAAGCCGGACUGAACGGAGGAGGCGACGCGAGUCAAUGGAGCCUGAGGAUGACAUCUUUAUACCUGAAAAGAGUUUCAUCCUGGAGGAGACUGUGCAGGAGGAGGCAGAGGAGGAAAGAACGGUUAGUACAGCAUGCCAAACUGACCCCUGGGUGCCAGAGUGUUCCUGUGCUGCGGUAGAGAAGAGGUCCACCGGGACCAUCACUAAAGAGCUCGAGGCCCAGCUAGAUUGAGCUCACGACCAUCAGUAUACAACCGAGUCCUGCCCCAAUACGCCACAGAUGGAGCUGACGGAGAGUGAGAUCAACGAAGACCAGAACUCGCUGUAUGAACCUGAGCUCAGAAUCACAAUCAUCACAGUGCGAGCCAAGAUAUACUAUCAAAGAGUGUGUGCAAGAUCCGAAAUACAUAGUCUUUGAUAGCAAGCUGAAGGAGUUGUUCAAUGUCUGCCUUGAGCCAGGAUGUCGAGCAGGUGUCAUCAGUUCAUCCCUGAAAAUAAGUGGUUUUGCCAUCACGAUGGAGACAGUGUGUUGUCGGCCACAGGAGGAAGUGGGAGUCCCAGACCAGUGUGGGAAAGUUGUUUGCAGGGAAUCUGUUGAUGCCAUCAGCGGUCUCCCUUACUGGCGGCUCCCACUCCACUUUUGUGGAAACAUGUCACCUCCUCAGCCUGGUGUCCAUGUCGCUGCGACAGUUCGCAAACCAACAGAGCAUCUACAUUGUGCCAGAGGUUAACUACAUGUGGACCCAGCACAUUGAGGCCAUUCUGGCUACAAUUGGUGACAGUCCACUAAUCGUAUCUGGAGACGCACGGUGUGAUUCGCCAGGCCUUGUGCCUCCUUUGGCACUUACACCAUCCUGGACUCUGCUUCCCACCUGAUCCUCGCCCAGGAGACUGUGCAUGUGACCGAAGUGAAGAACAGCUACUGGUUGGAGACGGAGGGAUAAAGAGAUGCCUGCAACACGUUGAGGCCCAUGGAUGCAGUAUUGAAACUCUGGCCACUGACAGGCAUCCAAGUGUGAGGGUGCACUUGAGGGACUCACAUGCUGAUAUCUGGCAUGAGUAUGACCUGUGACACAUUGCCAAAAGGUGUGAGGAAAAAGCUGGUGGCCAUCGGGAAGCCAGAAGUACUGCCAUGGGUGAGGGCAUUAACGCACCACUUGUGGUACUGUGCCACGACUGCUGGUGGGAGUGUCCAGGUGCUAAAAGAAAAGUGGAUCACUGAAGUUCACCACAUCACAAAACCCUUGUUUUUGUUUUUUUGUGCAUUCCUAUGUGAAUAAUUACAACCGAUUGAUUUAAUAAAAUCAGUAACAGUAUAAUUGUAGUAGCCUACUUAUUAAUCUCUAGUUACAUUAAUUUGAUAUUUUCUUUUGUAGGUGACGAAGUGUGUUCAGACAGGUGAACUCGAGAGUGUACAUGCCCUGUGCCCAAAAGGAACAAGUUCGGCCAGCAGGGGAUGGUCGCAAGACUCCAAGUGGCUGCCUUGGACCACAAUUAUUCGGUGGACAGACAGCAGGCUCCAACAAAGGAGGGAGUGCUCCGUUUCAAGCAAGAGUUCUCCAAGGCUGCCAGGGCGUUUGUGGUGAAACCCAUCAAGGAGGAGAAGACAUGGUGUUUCCGGUCUGAGCUCCAACACGGCAUCGUUGACCGCUGUGCCAAUGGAUCAUCCCAGCGGACUCUCCUAAGUGCCCAAAGAGAGAGAGUGGUGGUCACUUUGGGGGAGCAGGCUGGUGUUCCGAAAAUGGAGAAGGAGUAGGCCAUUCAACAGCGAAUUCAAAGAUACACACAUCCAUAAAGGGAAUCGGAGUGGAAUUGUUUUUCCACUGAUUUUUUUACCCGUUUCAACGAAAGUGCUACCUUGUCCCAGACCUGCUGUUUCGACUCUCUCUCUCCCGGAUCUG